RNAcentral lists this long non-coding RNA (620 nucleotides) under Suricata suricatta (meerkat). RNAcentral's name for it is "lncRNA (ENSSSUG00005001181.1)". Lineage: Eukaryota; Metazoa; Chordata; Mammalia; Carnivora; Herpestidae. The record is from RNAcentral.
UAUGAAGUCACAUGGAGGUCUCGAGAUGAACAGUCGCUCCGCUGCUGAAGGCUGCGUAUAUGUAGGAUGGUGAUUCCGCAGAGCAGGCCCAUGUUGAACGUGGUUUCCUGGGCCUCACGCAGCGCUGACAAGCCCCCAGUUCCUGUGUGUGGAGCUGGUGCCACAGGGGUACAGGGAGAGAUGGUGCUAAUUGCCAACUUAGGGAGACCAGAGCUGUGCUUAGGAGCGAGCGGAUUUUCGGAAUUCAACUGGAAAAUGCAUAGUAAUUGCAGUCGUAUCGCCAUUCCCUCUUCCAGACCCCUUGUCUCUAGCUGUCACUUCGGGGUGCUCACCGGCCCCCCUCGUGUGACUCGGCCUCCAGAGGGACAGGAGAACCAGGGUAAUCUGCAGCGGCCGCCUUAGCGCGUCCACUCACGUGAUGCACACACAGAUCGGCAAGUCCUUGUCUUCCCUCCCAAUCUGCUCCUCUCUAUCCUUCGGUAGUUCAGUAAACGGUACAACCAUUUGUCCCAGCUUGUCACCUGGAGUCGCACCUGACCCCCUGCCCACACACACCUAGCCAAUCACCAGGCCACAGCGUUCUGUCUCCAUCCCCAUCUCGCAGCCCCCACUGUGAGCCC